Molecule: ribosomal RNA, 458 nt
Filed under: uncultured bacterium
Lineage: Bacteria
Description: partial 16S ribosomal RNA
Rfam family: Bacterial small subunit ribosomal RNA
Source: RNAcentral
CCUACGGGUGGCAGCAGUGAGGAAUAUUGGUCAAUGGCCGGAAGGCUGAACCAGCCAUGCCGCGUGAAGGUCAGUGCCCUAUGGGCGUUAAACUUCUUUUGUGCGGGAGCAAUAAUGGUCACGUGUGGCCAGACGAGAGUACCGUGCGAAUAAGCAUCGGCUAACUCCGUGCCAGCAGCCGCGGUAAUACGCGGGAUGCAAGCGUUAUUCGGAUUUAUUGGGUUAAAAGGGUGCGUAGGCGGACUGGAAGGUCAGCGGUAAAUUCGAGAGGCUCAACCUCUUUCCGGCGUUGAAACUGUCGGUCUUGAGUGGGCGAGAAGUAUGCGGAAUGCGUGGUGUAGCGGUGAAAUGCAUAGAGAUCACGAAGAACUCCGAUUGCGAAGGCAGCAUACCGGCGCCCGACUGACGCUGAGGCACGAAAGCGUGGGUAGCGAACAGGAUUAGAUACCCGGGUAGUC